UGACCCAGCUCAGUCAUUUCAUAUCACCAGACUUCAGAAACGGGUAUGCAGGAGAUUAGAAGCCAGUGGGCAUGAGCGUGGCUGCCACCAGGUGAAUGCCUGUGCCCUGGCGUCCUGGGGCCCAGAGGACCGGGAGCUUCCAUCAAGAGGCUGCCUCCCAGCACCAAGGCCAGAGAGUGGCCAGGGGAGGCUAAGUACAGGGAUUUCUCAGAAUGGUGGAAGGAGCUCAGCCCAGCCUUGCCCAAGAUGUAUUGCAGGGGAAUCUGUAAGUGCAUUAACCUUCUUGCUGUGACAUAAA
This 298-nucleotide long non-coding RNA is filed under the name Homo sapiens (human). RNAcentral's name for it is "non-protein coding lnc-C10orf143-46:16". The record is from RNAcentral. Lineage: Eukaryota; Metazoa; Chordata; Mammalia; Primates; Hominidae.